UACGUAGGGGGCAAGCGUUGUCCGGAAUCAUUGGGCGUAAAGAGCGUGUAGGCGGCUCGGUAAGUCCGCUCUGAAAGCCCGGGGCUCAACCCCGGGAGGCGGGCGGAUACUGUCGAGCUAGAGUCCGGAAGAGGCGAGUGGAAUUCAUGGUGUAGCAGUGAAAUGCGUAGAGAUCAUGAGGAAGACCAGUGGCGAAGGCGGGUCUCUGGACAGUUCCUGACGCUGAGGCACGAAGGUCAGGGGAGCAAACGGG
Molecule: ribosomal RNA, 253 nt
Filed under: uncultured bacterium
Lineage: Bacteria
Description: partial 16S ribosomal RNA
Rfam family: Bacterial small subunit ribosomal RNA
Source: RNAcentral